RNAcentral lists this precursor RNA (40898 nucleotides) under Homo sapiens (human). Its description in RNAcentral is "microRNA 29b-1/29a". The stretch from base 35729 to 35798 matches the Rfam family "mir-29 microRNA precursor family". Lineage: Eukaryota; Metazoa; Chordata; Mammalia; Primates; Hominidae. The record is from RNAcentral.
AGUUUUUUGGAAUGAACGUUGUGAAAUCCCUCCUUUAUAAUGGCAGGUUUUCAGUUGGUGGUUUUAUCAGAAUUUCUCAAGAUCAAAACGAAACCUUCUCUUUAAAAAGGAAAGAAAGUACUAUCGAUACAGAAAGCAAAAGUAUUUCCAGUCUCCUACUGAACUGUCACGGCAGACCUCUCUGUAUCUAUAUUUAGAGCUGUAUGUCCAUAUAUUUGCCUGAAUGUGUGAGUUCUUGGAAGUAUGGAUUCAUUGCCAGGAGCUGGUGAUUUCCUAAGCAGAGGUCGCUAACUACAAGAAAUGUUACACUCGGUGAGUAGGUGGUACUUUCUGAAGAUUAUUGGUAACCCAGUGUUGGUCGUCUUGAGUCAUGGAUUUAAAUGACGGCUAGCAAGCUCUUAAACACCUUCUGCUUUAUAUGAUACAGAGUAUGGAACUGCAGGACGCACAGACAACUGUGAAGGGUUUUUAAGAAUAUGGAUUCAUUGAAUAAUCAGUGAAUCUUGUGAAUAUACUAGACCUUUGGAGGAGGAAAGGGUGUUUUACAGAAGGAAGUGGUUUGUGGGGGCUUUUAAAGGUACAGUUAUCGCUUUUCUAUAUUUAUUUUCAGCAUCAUUCAGUCCUCCUAUAUGAAAGAAAGAAAUGGUCUCGAUAGAGAAAAAGUUAUGCUGACUCUUUAAAUGAAGAAACUUGAUCCUCAUGUUACUCUUAACUGGACUUUUUUCCUCCUAAAUAUUCAUAAGGGAAACUAUCCCAUGAAGGCAACUAACUUUCUGGCAAUCUCUAUGAUGUGUCUAAUUCAGAACCCGGUGGGCUCUCCAUGCAUUAUUGGCAGCACUUUUAUCCAGGGGCACAGACAGGGAAUAGGGUUACUGGAAACAGGGAGUGUAGCUCAAGGAAUUGUUCUCUCUCUGGAGUGGAUAAGUUGUUUGACCUACUGACUCAUUUCAUAGGAAUUAGGAAAACAACCUAGUGUGGUUUUUAUUGUUAGUCCUGGAGGAUUCCAAAAUCUGUGUGCCUGCAAAUAAGAUGAGCUGGGGAAAGGGAGCACCAGCAUUUGGUGUUUCUACUUGCCUCUUUUCCUGAUGGAAUCCAAUCCUCUGCUUCCAGGACAAGUCCUGCGCUUGGGGAUCCUCUGUACGCCCGUUCACUGGUGAGUAUGUAUGACAGCAAUUUCUGAUUUCACUAGUUCUUGCUUCUAACACCUAAAUGGUGCUUUGUCUAGGGAAACGCUUUAAAGAGCAUUUUCCCCCAGUACGUUUAUAAUACAUUUCAUAUUUACCUCCAGAAAAUACUGUGGAUGUGAUAAUAAUUAUAAAAGACAACCCACAGACAACAAUGAAAGUUAAGAAUUAAGAUAUAUUCUGAUAGAUUUUUGCAGCAUAUUGACAUAAAGGCAGUUUUGGUUUUGACAUAUGUACACUAAAAUGAUAUCUGUAAUGCUAUUAAAACUCAAGUGUACAAGGCACCAGUAUAUUCUGGCAAAAAUAAUAUAAUGAUCAACAGUUAAUGAAAGACUUGUGCUUUGAGCUUCUAACAAAAUGUUAAUAUGUAGAGAAUCUUGUGAUUCAUGAUGCUUUGGUUCUCAACCAGGGUUAUCAAAUAAGCUAAAAGUAUCAGAAGAGGACAAAGAAAGUACGUAAAACAUGGAUAAAAGCAGAAACCGAGAAAAGAUAGCUUUGAUAUUUAAAGUGUUAGAUUAUGGCCUCUAUAUAAUGUCAUAUAUGCCAGAUCCCCCCCCAAAAUCACACCCUCAAAUUAUGAUCUUCAUUAUUCAAAAGAUGUUUGGCGUGUUGGUGGUACAGUGGUGAGCGUAGUUGCCUUCCAGAAGAUGGUUGGUGUAUAAUUACUAUAGAAUUUCUUGCUCUCUUGGGAGGUGGCUUAGUAGAAGGUUGAGUCAGGCAAGCUGGGGCUGUUUAUUCAGUGUGCUGUGCUGUGCUGUGCUGUGCUGUGCUGUGCUGUGCUGUGCUGUGCUGUGUCUGAAUGCCUGGGAGUUUGCGUUGUUAACCUUUCCAGGGUGCUAGAUCCCUUUGAGAUUAUGAUGGAAGCCAUGAAUCCUUUUCCCACACCUGUAUGCAAACAUGUGCCUGCCCAUUUACAGACCCAAAGAAGGACAUCCAUGUACCCCACGUUAAGAAGGCUGCCCUGGACUAAGCCCUCACUGUGACUCUGCUGUUCUUAAGCUUCCCAGGAAACACUGUUAUGUAAAAAGACGAGCCAUCCAGGUCAAAAAGAAGUCAUUGUGGUUGCUAGGUGGGGGUGCAAAGCCAAAGACAAAGGGUGGGGAAAAUACAUGACUAAUAAUAAAUAAAGAGCAUGGUUAAUACCAGAGUCUCCAAACUGAUAGCCCAGAAUCCCUCAACAUGUAGCCACGAGUAUUUGUAAAGUACGUUGUGAAUUCAGGUAGAGGGCCGAAGACUCAAUAUUAAGCAGUUGGGCAGAGUUUUCAUACAUAUAUUUGUCUCUGCCUUUUGCACAAUAUAAAACUAUGAAAUCUCUUUUCAUUUUUCUAUUGUGCACGCUACCACAUUAGGUAGGAAUCAAAAUCAUCUCAACUCCAGAAGUAUAAUUCAUAACAAUUAUAACAAAGCAGAAAAAUGAUUCUACAUUAGCAGAAGAAAUGUAGUAGGAAUAGAUUUAAAAUAGCAUGGUUGAGUACAAAAGAAACAUCGUUUUUUAAAAAAUGGCAGCCUUUAUCACUCAUCAGCUAAACUUAAAGUCAAUGCUGUGAGGCUGUUGCGGGAAAAAAAUAGUCAUGAUUCUUGGGUGUAUUAAAAGGAGUAUGACAUAGAAGGGUAAGAAAACAAGACGUAGUGUGUUUGUCAGACUCAUCAUUGUGUCCUGUUUGAGUCACACUUAAAAAAAGAAUUUGGACAAUUGUGAAAAGCUGAUACACAAGCAACAGAAAUUACACGCCCUUCCAGGAAAAGAUAAGGCAACUGAGGAUUUUAUUCCACACAAGGCUGGAGGAUUUUUUGCUAAUGGCCUUUAAGUAGUAACAGUCUGGUUUAUCCUUAUAUUCCUAGGGCCUUCCGCUCUGCCUGGUGCACAGUACUUGAGAUGAUCGUUGUGUUUAGUGAUAAUGAGUAAGGUUCCUGUGAGAGACUUAGCAGGAGUAAGUAGGUUCAAAUAAAACCAGCGAUAGUGUCAUGACAGACGGUAUAUAAUACAUGAAUUUGCUGGGUGAUUAAUACAUAAGGAUGACUGUCUCACUUGUGAGGAUGAUAUAAUACUUCAGCAGCUAACUGGGGGAAGCUACAAAAUCUUGGUUUGAUACCUCUUUCAGGAUGAAAGCAGAUAAGUCUGCUGGGGUGGUGGAAACAUUCAUUCAUUCAUUCUACAAACCCUGAGGGCCUACUUGGCUAGGUGCUCACGGUCUGGUAGAGGAGACAAAGAUACAAAAACAGAGUCACAGUGUGUAAUGAGUGCCAUGGGAGCAUAAAAACAGCAUGCGCAGGGCUUGUGACACUCAACCGCCACCCCGCGCAGCUUCCAAUGGAGGCAAAGUCACAAUUGACCCCAAUAGACAGGCUUGACAGAGUUAGUUGGAUGGGAGGCAGGUGGGGCAGCCUGUCCAGAGGCGCAGACCUGUGUGUGUGGGGAAGGGGUGAUGGGAGAUGCAGACUCGGCAGUGCUUGUUAACAGAGGUGUGAAUGCCGCGCCUUGCUUGCCUGAAGAUUUCCACCCAGGAUCCUGACAAAAGUCAGAUGUGCACUUCAGAAAGGCCAGGCGGGCUGCAGUGAAGAGAAUGACUCGAGGGGGUGCGGGUGUGGGACAGGCCAUCGAGGCAAGGAGGCCAAAUGGAAAGCUUUGGUCAGGACACAGGUGGUGAUGGAUUCGGGGGAGAAAUGGGGGAGGGUGACGCAGGCAGAGUGGCCAGGGUUAUCAAGUGGCAUCAUUCACCACAAAAUGCAGUCCAAGAGGAAGCCCAGCUGUGAGGGGGGGACAGGUGGGGCCCAGGUGUGAGGGGGGAUAGGUGGCAUUCAGACAUGUCAGUACACAGAGUCAAUGGCAGAGACAGAGCCAGUGGGCAGUUGCACCAUGUGGAUAAGGACUUGAGUGAGACCUGUCUCCAAAGCAGGGGAUCACUCUUCUAAUUUUUUAUAUGGUGUUUUUCAUUCUAUUCUGACUCAUUUGUAAUAAAACCUCCUUUGUUUUUUAUCAUAUAUAUUUCAGGUGUCAACAUGCUGGUUUGAUAUAACAUGUACAAAGCAAAAUAAUAACUUACACUCCAGCUGUGAGUGUACCAUCUCACAGUUACCUUUUUGUGCAUGUGUGUUAAGCCCACCUAAAAUGCACUUAGAAAUAUUCAGUAUCUUCACUGUGGUCAUGCUGUACUGCAGAUCUCUAGAUGUAUUCGUCUGACAUCAUUCCAGCUUUAUACCCUUUGACCCACAUCUCCCCAUCCCCCCAACCACCUCUCUCUGUUUCUAUGGACUGUAUUUGACUAUUUUAGAUUCCACAUAUUACCUCUAAUCCUCAAAGCUCUAUUAGGGUUUUGUGUAUUUCCUUCCAGCAUUUUCCUACAUACACACAAUUUGCAGAAUCAGCAUAAUUCUGUAUAGGUACUUUAUUUAUUUAUUUAUUUUGAGAUGGAGUUUCGCUCUUGUUGCCCAAGCUGGAGUGCAGUGGCACAAUCUCGGCUCAAUGCAACCUCUGCCUCCUGGGUUCAAGCAAUUCUCCUGCCUCAGCCUCCCAAUUAGCUUGGAUUACAGGCACGCGCCACCACGCCCAGGUAGUUGUGUAUUUUUAGUACAGACGGGGUUUCACCCUAUUGGUCAGGCUGGUCUCGAACUCCUGACCUCAGGUGAUCCACCCACCUCGGCCUCCCAAGGUGCUGGGAUUACAGGUGUGAGCCACCACGCCCAGCCUGUAUAGACACUUUCCUCUUUUUUUUUUUUUUUUUUUGAGACGGAGCCUUGCUCUGUCACCCAGGCUGGAGUGCAGUGGCGCAGUCUCGGCUCACUGCAAACUCCACCUCCCGGGUUCAUGCCAUUCUCCUGCCUCAGCCUCCCAAGUAGCUAAGACUACAGGUGCCCGCCACCACGCCCGGCUAAUUUUUUGUAUUUUUAGUAGAGACGGGGUUUUACCAUGUUAGCCAGGAUGGUCUCGAUCUCCUGACCUCGUGAUCUGCCCGUCUCGGCCUCCCAAAGUGCUGGGAUUACAGGCUUGAGCCACCAUGCCCGGCCUGUAUAGACACUUUCUAUCCCACUUUUAAAACAGGCAUGUUCUCCCUAUGCUUUAAAAUGCCUUUAAAAUAUUUCUAAUGGUGCUAAUUCUCUAAUUUGGGAGUGUCUAAUUUGCUUCCAGUUUUUAAAAACUAUUUUUUAUUAUAGUAAUUAACCUUUUAAAUACAUGAAUCUUGGGCAUAUUUUUAAUGAUUUCCUUAGGAGAGAUUCCUUACAGUGAAUUUCUUGAGUAAAAGGAGGUUAACUGUAAGAUUCUUGAUAUACCUUGCUAAAUUGUUUUCUAGAAAGCUUGAACCAAGUUCUGCACAUUUUAGCAAAGUAUGAAAUGUCCUUCUCUCCAUAUCUUCAUCAGCAUUGAGUGUUCUCUCUUUUUUAUCUUUAGACAAAAAGGUUACAUUCUUUUUGGUUCAUCUACUCAGAAGCUAUUUAAUGAAUGUUCACUCCAUGUCAGGCAUGUGGCAUGUUUUCAUCUCUACCAGUAACGCUGAACUUUCUUCUUGUGUGCAUCAGCCUGUUGUUUUCUUUUGUAAAUGUUCUGUUCGUGUCCAUUAUCAACUUUUCUACUAGGGUGUGACUGUUUCUAUGAUAUAUUUAUAACGAUGUGUGUGUGUGUGUGUGUGUGUAUACGAUAUUUGGGGUAAAUACUUUUCCCAGCUUCUUUGACUUUUAAUUUUGCUUAUACUUUAUUGGAAAUACAGAACCUUUAUUUUAUUAUUAUUAUUAUACUUUAAGUUCUGGGAUACAUGGGCAGAACGUGCAGGUUUGUUACAUAGGUAUAAACGUGCCAUGGUGGUUUGCUGCACCCAUCAAACCACCAUCUACAUUAGGUAUUUCUCCUAAUGCUAUCCCUCCCAUAGUCCGCCACCCACCAACAGGCCCUGGUGUGUGAUGUUCUGCUCCCUGUGUCCAUGUGUUCUCAUGAGAACCUUUAUAUUUUAUGUAGUGGAGUAAGUUAUUUUAUCUUUUUUUUUUUCCUGUGUAACUUCUGUUACCUCAGGCUUAGGAAUUCCUUCCUACCCAGAAGUUAGAAAAUAUUCAUCUAUUUUUUUUUAAAGUUUCAUUUUUAACAUUAAACUCACCAAAUUAGAAGUAAGAUGUGGCCAGGCACAGUGGCUCACACCUGUAAUCUCAGUGCUUUGCGGGGGCUAAGGUGGAAAAAUCACUUGAGGCUAGGAGUUCAAGACAAGCCUGGGUAACACAGUGAGACCCCACCUCUACCAAAAAAUUUAAAAAUUAGGCAGGCAUGGUAGCAUGUGUCUGUAGUCCUAGCUGCUUGGGAGGCUGAGGUGGGAGGAUCACUUCAGCCCAGAAGCUUGAGGCUGUAGUUAGCUAUUAUCAUGCUAUUGCAUUCCAGCCUAGGCAACAGAGCAAGAACCCUGUGUCUUUAAAAAAAAAAAAAAAAAAAGUGUGAAACAAAGAUCCAAAUGGACUUUGUUUCACAAAGUAAAUCCCCCAUCAUGUUUUGAGUCAUGUAUCUUUCCCUAUUUAAUUUGUGGUGCUUCCUUUAUUUUAUAUUUCAAGACUUUUUGCUAUUAUAUCCAGCGGUAGGAGCCCAUGAACUUGUUGGAUAUUGGUAUGCACAGAAGAUGCGGUAAUACUUUUUUCCAAUAUUUUAUUAUGAAAAAUACACUGGCUAGAUUCUAUAAUUAAUAUUCUGUCACUUUACCAUCUAUUCACGUAAUAAUUCUUAAACUUCUCAAAUCAUUAUUUGAAUUUCAAAGUGGACUAUCAAAGACAUUUUCUCUAACCCUAUUUUUCUCUAAUUUGCAGUUUUGAUUUCCAGGAAGCCUUUAGCAAUUUAUAUUGUUAGUACAGUAAGAGAGUAAACAACACACUAAAAUACCAAGAGAAACUACUUUCCAAAACAUGUUUUAGUCGUUUAACUUUAUGAAUAUGGCUAGCAAGGGGGCUUCCUGGGGGACAGUGCUGGGGAAAGAGCAGGCCCUAGGAAUGGGCUUUGAAAGAAGACUUUUGCCACCGUCAGGUCACAUUUGCAAGAGGCCAUCGUCGUGGUCUGCCAGGGAACCCUUAGCAGAAAGGCUGCUUUGCCCAGGAUCUGGCUUGCCGCCCCAGACCAGCCCUACCGCUGUCUGGCAUUGAAUGUCCCUGGUCCGCAGUGAGUGGCCAGUUGCAUAGACCUUAGAUCAAGGAGCUUAGUCACCUCUUUCCAGCCUAAAUCAUGAGCACCCUAAAUUCCCAUGGGUUGUUGAGACCUAAUAGCAUCCUGGCUUAGAGAUGGGAUUGCAGCUGGGUCUGCACAGGAAACUGGCCUACUGUGUCUGCCUCUUGGUGCAGCAUACAACCAGCCACAUGGAAAAACCCAGCCUGCAAUAAAAGACUUGCUUUGGUCACCACCUGACAUUAGCUGUGGUUUAAUCUGUGUAAUGUUUUUCUUCCCCCCCAUCUAAGCCUCAAUUUCCUAUCCAUAAAAUAUGUUGGUUUUGGCCAGGCGUGGUGGCUCACGCCUGUAAUCCCAACACUUUGGGAGGCCAAGAUGGCCUGAUCGCCUGAGGUCAGAAGUUCAAGACCAGCCUGGGCAACAUGGCAAGACCCCCCCCCUCUACUAAAAAUACAAAAAACUAGCUGGGCGUCAUGGCACAUGCCUGUAAUCCCCGCUACUUGGGAGGCUGGGGCAGGAGGCAGGACAAUCGCUUGAACCCGACAGGCAGAGGUUGCAGUGAGCCGAGAUCGUGCCACUGCAACUCUAGACUGGGCCAUGAGCGAGACUCUUUCUCAAAAAAAAAAAAAAGUUGGUUUUAUUAGAUUACAGAGAAUACUUUCUCUAUCCAAAAUCUGUGAUUUUAAUCUAGAACACUGAAUGUAGGUCAGUAUCCACCCCAUUUUCAGAAAUCUGGGAAGAUCUUUUUUUGUUUUUCAGCUUCUCAGAAUAAAUACUUUCUAGGAUGUUACAAACAUGGAUGAAGUUCACCAGAACAGAUCCAGGGUUAACCUUUUAAAGUCAUUAGAUAUGGCUCCAGUAAAAGGCAUGAGAAGGCACCCGUGAGACCCUGCAGAGGAAGCCUCACUCCUGGGCAGCCUUACGGCUGACGAGCUACCUUACUGAGCAUAUUCCUGCCUCUACACCAGAGACUCACUCUGUGGUCCGGUGUCACCUCGAUUCUAAAUUCCCUGCUUCCUGGUGAAUGAUGCUAUCACACUUUAGAAACCUGGCCAAUAAAUGCUUUGAAAUUUAAGGAUAGCUAUCCUGAAAAAAUUUAAUAUAACCUAAAUUGAUAGUCUAAUGACAUCAGUAUUCAGAAGAGGCAUUCUAUUUCAGCAAGUGGUUUUCAGAAAAAAAAAAAAAAUAAAUAACCUGAGUUUUUCCCCUGCCACUCUCCCCUCUUGCUUUUAUGCUGCAAAAAGAGCUUGUGGCUUGCCUGACACACCGUGUUGUUCUCUGCCUUCGAAGAUCUAGCUCCCUCAGCCUCCCCACGUUGUCCACCUCUCCAAUACCAUUGCUCCACUGGGAAGCUGGCCCGGAGGUGCUCUACCACGUUCAUCUCUCGCAGCCCAGGGCUGUCUUUAACGUUACAGAGACACAGAUAUCAAAGUGUUGCAAUUUAUUUGGCUUUCAUUAAUUUGCCGGAAGCAAGGGAGGGUAGAUACAAAGUACUCCUCUAACCUGUUAUUUUCCUUGCUGUUAAAAUGUAAAGAAGACUGAUGUAAGAAUCUCUGCCUUCCACCAGUCAUAACCAUGGUAUGCACAGAGCUUAUGAAUCAUCUUCUAAAUUCACAGCUAGUUUUAAAAUUUAGCUUCCAGGCUAGAUCUGCAGGAAAUGAUUGGGAGAUCGUAAGUGCUAUGGAGUGAAUAUGAAGUUACUUACCAGAUCCCAUAAAGUUAGCUCAGGGAAUCCUGAGGAAGGUGUCACUCAGAAAGCUGCUUUCAAAGCUGAGUCAGACCUGCAUGGUGUUUAUUACCUCCAUUGUGUUACCAUGCCAAACAUAUAAAUAGCUUCAAAGUGAGUUCAGAUUAAAACACAGAAAAAUCUUUGGAUAUAUUCACAGGCCAGUGGGGGUCAUGUAACAAGUCAGCAAGGAAAAUAAAAGAUAUUUGAGGUACAGCCUCAACUUUUUAAGAUGGAUCUUGAAUAAAAAGGUCUAAUGAAAUAUUUUAUGGUAUUGCUCUCUGGGAUUUAAAAAAACAAAGCAAAACAAAAAAACGAGGGCACUGGAACAAUGUUUUAGAUAGAUCACGGGUGUUUUCCAGUAUGCAUUUUUAGUGCACUUACUUAACUGAGAGCCCUCUCAUAUGAAACUGGAAUGUCACCACCAUGUGAUAAAGCGUAGACUAGCUGUGACCUAAUACGUACUGAUCAUGACUAACGCAGAAGUCCAGGUCACUGCGGUUGUAUUUCCUGUGGCCUCAAUGUUCUGGGGUUAGGGUUAACAGGGAUAAUUCAUUUCUGUGUUCAAGUCUCUAAUUCUUCCAUCAUGUAAACUGUAAGUGGGAGCAGACUGGAUUCAGCAUUGCUACAAGAGAAAAACAACAAAUAGGAACACCACCAACACCAUGUGUUGGGAGCCCCAUGUGCCAGGCACUGUGCCAAAUACUCGAUAUUGAUUAUCUCUUUUAAUACACAAUCCUGUGUGGCAGAUCCUACUAUGAGACCCAUUUUACAGAUAGACAACUGAGGCUGGGGGAAGUUGGAAAUGGAGGAGCCAGGAUUCAAGUCACAGCAGUCUGGCUCCUGCGCCCAAGCUUUUAAUUUGUAUCCUAUUCACUUUUCAUAAAUAAAUGACUCGUGUUGGAGGUGUUUGUAUCCUUGGGGCCACUCAGUUUUAUUCAGCCAGCUUUCCUUGGUUGUGGUUUUAAUGUGUUAGGGAAGAAUGAAUGUAUUCCCCACAGCUGGGCAUCUUUGUGCUGGAUCACCUGGCCACAGCUCAUGAAUAGUGCAGAUUAUCACACCCCACCCCCAUGACUCCAGCAAAUGUGCUGUGGGUAUAGGAGAGUAUGUUCAAAAAAGGCAAUUAACAAAGCAACUGUCCCAACUACCAAGAAAAACAAAUGUGGCAUAACCCAUGAUAGAACCCUCUUUUUUCCUUAUUAGACAUGAAUAGAAGCUCAUUAAUGCCGUCCAGUAAGUUCAAGCCGCAUAACUUACAUACACUGUCAGGACCCAGAAAGAAACCUGUUGUCUUGUGAUGUUAUUGUUGCUUGGUUGACCUCAUCAUGUCUUGACAGGGCUCAAGACACCCUUCAUGAUCUGGUCUUACCUCUCAGGACUCCCCCCAUCCUUACCAUUGUUUGUUGAUCUCUGGUGCAGCCAAAUGAAGCCCAUCAUGCUUGUCCUCUGCCUGGAAGCUCUUCCUUCCCUCUUCCUGGCCAAUGGCUACUGUCCCUUCAGAGCACCUGUUCAGAUGAAACCUCCACCAGGCAGCCUCUGCUGACUCCUAAGGGCUGGGCUAGGUGCCCCUUGGGUGCUUCCACAGCCCUUUCUGCUUACCCAGUUGUACAUGUGUCAUACUGUGUUCUGUAAUUCCUCUUUUUGUCCAUCUUCCCUGGCUUGCAUUGACCCCUUAAAAGCCAUGAUUAGGGCCGGGCGCCGUGGCUCACGCCUGUAAUCUCAGCACUUUGGGAGGCCGAGGCAAGUGGAUCACAAGGUCAGAUCGAGACCAUCCUGGCUAACGUGGUGAAACCCCAUCUACUAAAAAUACUAAAAUUAGCUGGGUGUGGUGGCACACGCCUGUAGUCCCAGCUCCUCGGGAGGCUGGGGCAGGAGAAUUGCUUGAACCCGGGAGGCGGAGGUUGCAGUGAGCAGAGAUUGCGCCACUGCACUCCAACCUGGGCAACAGAGCGAGACUCCGUCUCAAAAUAAAACAAAACAAAAUCAUGAUGCCAUGAUCAGUGUUUACUUUUGGAUAAACACCCGGACACAUGAUAGAGAAUAAAUGUUUGAGAGAGAGAAAUGACCUACUGGGUAACACCAAAAACUAAUGUAUACCAUGUCUAGUGUUUACAGUUUACAAGAUGCUUUCACACACAUAACUUCAUUUGAUCCUCCCGGCAACUCUGCAAAAUAGAUUUCUGCAGCCCUGUUGUACUGACCAGGAAACAUCAGCCUGCCCUGAUGGCAGGGAUGUGGUUAGCAGGUGGAAAGCCAGGACUCAGGCUCAGGUCUUCGAACCCAGAUUUUAUGCCCUAUGUACCGCCAUGUGGAUAUUCUCAAGGCAACUCUCUGAAAUAUUUCCAGAAUCUUUCACAAAAGUCCUGUGUCGUCCUUGUCCUGGCCAACUAGACUCAGAGGGAGGACUGAUGGAUUUUCAUCUCCCUCUUCCCCUUCGUCUUUUCUUCUCAGCAUCUUCCUACCCUCCCCACCACCGCGCUUCUCCACCAAAAGUCUGAUGCUGGCAUGUAAUGGACCCUUUCCAAGUUUCAAGGUGUUGACAGUAAAUCUUUUGUAUUUAGACCGGGCCGGCUGCUUUCCUUUUCUUGUGGGUAGAACUCUGGAAAAGUGGAGGGGGGUGGGUGGGGCUUCAGGUAAAGUACGUCAGCAAAUUGGAUAAGUCGGAUCUUCGUUGUGUGAGUGGGUAAGAGAUGAACUGGGGGGAGGGGUGUGUGUUUGGGCAGUGAGCAAGCCGGCAAGAGAAUGUGAGUGGGCGGCCAGUUGGUUGGCAAGUGAGAGGCUGUGGAGAGGUUGCUGCUGGGACGGGCUGUGCAAUUAAACAGUUGAGCAGAUCUUAAUAGCAGACUGGGGCGGUGCUCUCCGCAGGCCUGCGGGGAGCAGGGAGCAGGGGAAGCAAGCGAGCUGGAAGCAUCUUCGGGCACAGAGCUAGAUACGAAUUUCAGAAGCACAUAACCUGAGGAAUAGAAUGCAACCAGAGGAGGGAGAAAUAGAGAUUCCAGGCAGCGUUUCCUAAACUUAAAAAGUUUUGAAUACCCAGUUUUGCCUUGUUCUGGGGACCUCUGGCAAUGUUGUUCAAGGGAGGAAUUUUUAAUUUCAUAGAAAAGUGAAUUUUACCACCACAAGAGAACAUGAGACCAAGGUCAUAAAUCCCUUUGUUUGGAGUGUCCGUUCUGAACUCCUUGUAUACUUUUAUUUGCAGGAAGAGGCUAUACCAGCAAGUAUUAUGGUUUUACUGGGUGGGGCGGCAAGGCCAGGAAGAGAUGGAGAUGCUGUUAAAGGUCCUUGCUCCAGAACAUUCAGAGAUCAGAGGAACUCAAGAGGUCAAAGUAGGCUGAUGUCAUUGUUCAUCCAUUUAUUCAGCAAAACUUUCUUGAACACCUACUGUGUGCCAGGCACUGGUUGGCAGUGAGGUGAAGACGAUAGUGAUGAAAACAAAGGCAUGGUCUCUGUCAUCAUGGAACCUAAGUAAACACAUACCAAAAAAAAUGGCCCAAGAAAAAUCAUGCCCUGAGGGGAAGGCACUCAGAUGAAAAGGACCUUCUUCCCAGUGGUCCCCUGAGGAGGUGAUUUCCAAGGUCUCAGCUAAGGGAUGAGCAGGAAUGUGUGGGUGCAGGGGGUAGGGGUGAGAGCUCUCGGCAUAGAGAGAGCAGCACAUUUCAAAGGCCCUGGAGUGGGGAAGGAGGUGGCAGGUGCAGCUGUGUGGUGGCUACUUCCACUUCUGGAGUGCAGUAGCAUGAUCUCGACUCACUGCAACCUCUGCCUCCCGGGUUCAAGCAAUUCUCCUGCCACAGUUUCCCAAGUAGCUGAGAUUAUAGGUGCAAGCCACCACGCCUCGCUGAUUAUUACAUUUUUAGUAGAGACGGGGUUUUACCAUGUUGGCCAGGCUGGUCUCGAACUCUGUCUCCUGGAACCUCUUGAUGAGCCCCUGUGAGGUUCCCCAGCCCAGGGCAUCCCCCCAGGUAUUCAGGAGAGACCCGUCCCCAAGAGACUGCCUGCUACUUCCUCUUCCUAUGAAUGUCACUGUGAGGGGAAUAAAUAAGGAUAGACCAGAAAAGCAAAUUGUAAGAAAUUUGAAACCAGUUGUCAGUUUUCAGGUGCCCAGGAGCAUGACAAUAUGCCCGAGGGACCGUAACAGGACUUGACAUGGAGCUGGGUCUAAAGCAGAUGACCUGGUGGCUGCAGCGUGUUCCACACAGGCGAGCACUGUGAGGCCAAAGGACUGGUGUUGAGCAGAAUGAAAAAGCACAGUGUUGGUUAAUCCUGAAAAGUGAAGCCUGCAAGAAAUGAACUUCGACCUUGGAGUGGGGGUGGGACAGGGGCUAGAAGGAAGAGAGGCUCGGAAGUGUGUUGUGUAAACGUGGUUCUGUUUUGUCUAAUCUUUUACUACCUGUAGGGACAGGUGGAUGCAGUGGAGCUGCUGGCAGGAAAGGUGGAGUUUUUUCAAGGUCACGAGUUAAGCAAUAGAGUAGAAUAUCUUUGCAGCUGCAAGAGGAGGUGCGAGCAGCUUGUUCACAAGGUAUAUUUUGCAGGAGUUUCCCCUUACAAGAUCUUAUUUGCUUGAGAGUAGCGUUAAGGAUUUCUGUGCCAACAGUUAGCUGGAUCUCUGGGGUUGAAUCGUUAUCACCAAUCUAUAGUUAAAAUAAGCAUUAAAAAAAAAAAGGAGUCUACUUUCAAAGUUUUCCCGAAGUGCCAGUCUGAAGCAGCUACCUUUAAAAGCUGUUCUUGAAUAAUAGGUUGCUAUAUCCUAGUCUGUAAUCUUGGACUAAUGUCUGAGGAAGGAAAAAAAAAAAAAGAAUAUUCUCUCUUUGUCCGAUUAAGAAGUGGAGGUAGACAGCGAUUCGACAUGUUGUAUGGGCGAGGCUGUGCUGAGCUUGCGUCUGGGACAAUGACCAGACAGAUGAAAGGAGAAGUGAGAGAUAUUUUUAGCACAUCAGGACUGCUUUGAAACAUUGAUUUUUUUUCCAUCUCCUCCCACCCCCCAUAAUUCCAGCAGGAAGAUUCAGUGGCAGGCACUUUAAUUCAGUGUAAAAACAUCUUCUAUAUUACACACUAAAAUAUUCAUGAGGAAAGGGAGUUGCUGAUUUUAAGGCGUAGCUUUAAAACCCACGUCUGUCGGCUUGAUGGUCAGUGUCCCGCCACACAGUCUGGAAGUGUGACGUGGCCAAGGAGGACCCCCAGAAGGAUCCUGUGUCUUCCGUGGGGACUACUCCUUUCCUCAGAGGAGCGGGUUCACAGGAAACUGGAGCAGAAGGAUGCCUUUAGCCCCACUCCUGUUGGUCCUCAGUCCCUUCUCCUUUGAUCAGGUGGUUCAAGCACGCCUUGAAGUUCCGGUGUUCAAACAACGUGACCUCUGCAAUUACGUUCUAAUACUUGUCGGUGCCCAACUUAAACCACUAGCAAUGUUAGUUAAAAACAUCAGGGAGGCCGGGCGCGUGGCUCAUGCCUGUAGUCCCAGCACUUUGGGAGGCCUAGGCGGGCAGAUCACUUGAGGUCAAGAGUUCGAGACCAGCCUGGCCAACAUGGUGAAACUCUGUCUCUACUGAAAAUACAAAAAAAGUUAGCCAGGUGUGGUGGCGGGUGCCUGUAAUCCCAGCUACUUGGGAGGCUGAGGCUGAGGCAGGAGAAUCACUUGAACCCGGGAGGCAGAGGUUGCAGUGAGCUGAGAUCGCGCCACUGCAGUCUAGCCUGGGUGACAGAGACAAAACACAAAACAAAACAAAACACCUCAGGAGGCUGUAAAUCAAGCACAACUGAAGCAAAGAUAAAAACGGGCAGUCUCAGAAUCACCUUUGAAGGUGGAAGGAAGGGCGUUUGUGUGUGACAAGAAGAGUGUACGUUCAUACAAGGGUUUUUACUCCUCCUCUGAAAAGUCCUGCUUGGUGGCUGGCCAGUUUGUCAUGCUUGGCUGCCCAAGCAAGUGGUGGCAGUCGGAGCACAGGAGAAAGCCGCAGGGGGUGAGGAAGAAGUGCUGGAGAGGGCGCUCCACCUUUCGGCUGCCCUGACCUGUCUCCAGCCCCAGGGCAUGUGGUUCUGGGCCGGGCACUGGCCCCCUCUCUGUGGACUGUACCAGGCAGCGGGUAGUGCACAAGCUCUGAGGUCAGGCCACCUGGGCCUAAACUCCAGCUCUGCUCCUUGCUAGCAGUGUGACUCUGGGCACGUUCAAGUUACUUCAUGCUUUGUGCCUCAGUUUCCUCAUCUGUGAAAUGGGGAUGGUAACAGGACCCUCAUCCCAGGACUGCUGUGUGGAUUGAAGUGCCUGCAACGGGAUUUGUCUUUUCUGGGAUCGCGGUGGAUGCUCUAUUCCAGGUGAGGGAGUCUCUUGCUUUCUCCUACCUCUUGCAGCCGCUUUGCCUCUGAGUGGCAAAUAGCAAGUGGCUGAAAAUCACAAUGAGCCCGUCAGAGAAUGGGGAUGGGCCACAAGGCCACAGUCGGAUGGGUUCUCCAUGCCCUCGACUAUGCAGCGGGGUCAGGGCAUCCCUUCCUCCUGGGGUGCCCACACCAUUCCCUUGGAAGUUUAGACAGCAGCCCUUGCCUCGCCAGACGCAGCAACCCCUCCCAGCUACACGUGGAAUCUGUGGCCCAGCCUCCCUCAGAUGACCCGCAUUGCCUGACAGAGACCAGGGGCCCUGAGGGGUGGCUGUCGCUGGCCUGGGACAGGGUCCCUGCAGGUUUUCAGGGUCCUCAGCAGCAUUCGCCAGCGUCGGGUCAGACUGAGUCAUGGGGCCCGAGCUCUCCACGAGUUGGUUCUCCAGUUGGUUCUCGUUGGGGGUAAUGCCCUUCAUCGAACCGCUUCAUCCCCAGCCUGUAUUGUCUCCGUCUCUUCGCAGUUGUCAGAGGGCUCGGCCGCCACCCUGAAACAGCCCAGAGCUCUCUGAAGAGCACGAGCUUUUACGCUUCUCUCCCCAAAUCAACUGACUUUUUCAUUGCUUCUGUGGAGGCUUUCUGUGGGAGAAAAGCGUGUUUAUGGGGCAAGCUCAGAGAGCUCCUGUCCCCGUGGUGGAAUUUUUUUAGUGGCUCUGCCCACGUGGUGGUGAGCGCCGGUGAGGAUGGGACGCAUUUUCUGCUAAAAUGGCUGUGCGAGGCUGCCACCUCGUGGCCAGCACAAGGCAGUGAGUGUGUCCCUUGCUGGAGCUUCUGGGUGAAAUAAACUCAUUUUAAAGGUCUUCAGCAAGGACCUCACUCCCUCACUCUCUCAGUGUGCAUAUCAUUCCAGCUCCAGGGCUUAAUGCGUCUGUUGUGGCAUCUCUCAAAUCUGUACUUUGCUAUCUCUUUGACUACAGAGUCACUACCUUCCGAUAAGCCCUUCUGCUGUCUCCAGACCGAUCCUUCUAAAGCGUAGAUGUCAUUGUCUUUCUCUCAUUAAAGCUCUUUCAUGGCUCCUCAUUUUCCAGGUUCCAGCUCAUGUCUCAGGAGGCCGCUAAGCCCACUCCUCUGCCCCAGCCUGUGUCUGCGCACGUCUCUUCUCCCUUCCUCCUGGUUUCCUCUGGCUGAUACCUGCUCACCUGAAAGUCAUCUCAGGUGCCACCUCCUCCAGGGAUUCCUCGCAUUAGAUUAGCUUCCUUCUUCCCCAUUCCUAGCUGACUUCCUUCAUUAUGCCUCAGAUCCUUUUUUUGGAAGAAAAAGAAAGAAAUGGAAGACAGACUGGCCAGCAGGGGGAGAGAGAGGGAGGGAGGGCAUAUCAGAGAAUUCAAUAUGCUGCGUUUUAACCAGAUACUUUUCUUCCUCUCCCACAAGGCAUCAGAGUAGAGACUGCCUUUCAUCUCUCUCCCCCUUGUGUAAUAGCACAGUGUCUGGCAGAUAACUGUUGCUUGCUAAUUAUUAGAAGGAAGAAAGGGAGGGAGAAUAAAAGCCAGCAUCACCAUGUGAUCUUCCUAAGUGCGACAGAUGUGAGAAAAGAACUACCUUAAGCUCCAGGGGCCCUAGAGGAACGGCGCUGCGUGCUAGUGCAGAUGGUAGCAAACGCUCUCACCUGGCUUGGCAACACUUCUUCACCUCUUCUUUCUACCACCACAGCGACUGUCUCCCUCCAGCCCAUCCUACUGCCAAAUUCAUCUUCUAUUAAGCAUAGCUUCAAUCACAUCAUUUCUUUAUCAAAACACUUCUACAGAGGAGUUCCAAAUGCUUUAGCCGGGCCGUCCAGGGCCUCCACAGGAUGACCCCAGCCCAUCUAGUUUUCUACCACUCUUUAUGUGUUUCCUAAGUACCAUUCAUUAUUUUAGGACUUGGUAUUUGCUGAUGAAUUUACUUACUUACUUGAGAGUGUGGCAAAAGCACAUCCUAAACUUUCAGUUAAAAGGAGUUUGAUUGAUUGACCUGCUCUGAGUUUAAGGCACGUGCUGGUCACUGUGGGAGCCAUUAAAGAAGGUAUUGUUCUGUGGCCGCCAGGAACAGAUAGCCCAGCUGGGGACAAGACAAAAAAGCAGGGGGCAUUAAGGAACAGACAGCAGAAAGGAACAUGUCACAAGUGCACAAUUAAUCGCCAAAUAUAUGGCUCAAGAAGGGGUGGUGAUCAAACCAGAUAAUGUCUGUGAAAGUGCCUCUCUCCUGUCAAACUCCCAAUUCCGAGCAGUCCUACAGUCGGCCCCUUCCACAGGGCGUAGCCCUGUCAUUCCACCUCAAACGUCGUACACACUCGGCCUGUCCUACAAAGCCCUUCGUGAUAAGGCCUGCUUCUCCUUCCCACCUUGUGGGACCCCCGACCCUGGAACCCCGAGCUGCAGAGCUGGAGAGAAUGCACUCUGUUGUUUGGUAUACGUGUUCCUUGAAACAUUCACUCCUCCCCAUUUUCCUUCGGUGUUUAACCUGUUCUUCCUUUAAAAUUCGGCUUUUCCUUUAAAAUCCAGCCUGGAGCUCCCCAAUGAAGACUUCUGUGGCGCUGCAGGCAAAACUCACCACCUGCAGAGUCUCUGCUCUCCCUUGUCAAAUACGCGUUUGUGACAUACAUUGGAAGGCAUCGGGCACAUUUCUGUCAUCUGUGUGACUGUGGACCUCUGCCGCAGGGGUCAUGUCCUUUCCCUUUACAGUGCUUGAUGAGGUACACGUCUUGUCAAUGUUUGUCACGGACUGAAACUUAACACAUUAGAGAGGACAGCAAAGUCAGUUGACUCUAAAUUGUUAAGGCACAAGCUCUGUGAGUUCAGAAGAGACAUGUGCCAGAAUCGGUCCAGGGAGGUUCUUAGAACCUACCAGUUCUAAGUAGGAGUUCUUAGAACCUACCAGUUCUAAGUAGGAAUUCUUAGAACUGGAAGGUCAAAGCUUUGUACAUGUGAAAUAGAUCAAACAAUAAAAAGAAUUCCAUGUAGAAUAGCUCAGUGUCUGUGGCUCCUAAUGGCUCCCCCAUUCUCUGCACCAGCCAGCGGGAGGAGAAAGCCUGCAGAGUGGGGGCAGCGGAGACAGAACAUCUUAACCCCAGCAGAGGCUUUAUCUAAGGAAGUAGAGCGAAUGCCCUGAAGGUGGGUUGGACUUAGGUGGUGGAAAGGUUUCAAAUGCACUCUGUUAUCUUGCAGGUAGUGGCUGCCAUUUAUUACUUUAGAAAACCAUGGCGACUUCAUCAAAGUGGUGUUUUAGAAAGAUGAUCCAGGGCCGUCUUUUCCCUUUGAGAGUGGGAGGUGCCCUGUGGCCCUACCUUCAUUUUCUGUGAUGGUAUUCCCAGUGGUUUCCUCCCUGUGGCUUUGCGGCUUAGUGGUGAACCAAGAGGCUUAGGAUGCAGGUGCAAAGCCCCUCUACUCUUUAAUGCCUCACUUCAAGGUGCAGGAUCUUUCCCUCUGUAAACAAAGGCUUUCCUUCUGGCACUGCCCUUGACCUGCUCAGAGCUGUUCUCUGAUCCUUUGGGUCUCUCUGCCCUCGUGACUGGCAGUGACCUGCUAGGCAGCAACCCCCACGCAGCAGGUGGUCCUCCAGAGCUGAGUCACCACCCCGGGAACCGUGCCCUGGUGAGGCCAUCCAAGGUAGACCGGCACAGGGCGGGUGUGAGUGGCCUCUCCACCUGGCCCCUCGGUCUGGGAGGGCUCUUUCAGCUUGACAGAGAGAGCAAAGGAAACUCGGAUUUUUGGCAAAGCAGAAAAACAUUUUACCUGUGAUCACAGUUAUGGGCCUUGGUCAGUCAUUUGAUUUCAGCACACCCAAAUUGUCCAUUUACAGAUACCUUGAGACAUGGAAAGGGAGGAAAUUUUUUAAUGAUGUUUUAAGAUUCUGUUUGACCUCAUGAAUUAAGAGCGGUGAGAAGUAAUAGAACACGGAGAGAUACCUAAGCCAUUGAUUGAUAUUGUAGGCAAUAAACAAGUGAGAUUCAGAUUAUUUUUAAAAAUUUUUUUCAUGGGCACUGAUGGAUGUUUAAAAAAUUAUGACGUGUUCUGUUCAUGACGCGUUCUGUUCAUUUCCAGAGAAGAGAAAAAUGUGGUUGCUUUUGAAAGGAGGUUUUUUGUUUUGUUUUGUUUUGUUUUUAAACGUCUAGCUUAUUCAUUACACCAGCGAAUAGCAAUGACCUCAGUCUAAAAAGCAAGUUAACCAUCAUCUCUCUCCUUGCCUGGGAAAAGAAGCCUUUAUCUAAGUAGCCAAAAGAUGGGCAAGGCUGACCACCCAGUCAUUUCGGCUGAUCAGGAUUUUCCAAAAAACAAAAAGCUCUCUGUUUUCACAACUGAGUGACAACUCUUAGGAAAUACUACCAGCUUACUCAGUUUGAGUAAGGCCAUGGAGAAGUCUGGUGACAGUCAGUUGCCUGGAUGCACAUGUUACACAUGGCUAACGAUGCUGUCACCACUGGGAGCUUUCAGAAUUGGAGAAAAUAACACCGUGUCUCUUGCUUUCUGAACAUGGAAUUUUUAACUUUUUUUUUUUUUUUUUCUGGAGACAGAGUCUCGCUCUGGCGCCCAGGCUGGAGUGCAGUGGCAUGAUCUCAGCUCACUACAACCUCCACCUCCCGGGUUCAAACAAUUCUCCUGCCUCAGCCUCCCAAGUAGCUGGGAUUACAGGUGCCCACCACCACGCCUGGCUAAUUUCUGUAUUUUUAGUAGAGAUGGGGUUUUGCCAUGUUGGCCAAGCCGGUGUUGAACCCCUGGCCUCAGGUGAUCCACCCACCUCAGCCUCCCAAAGUGCUGGGAUUACAGGCAUGAGCCACCCCAUGCCCAGCUGGAAUUUUUUAACUUAAAAAAAAAAAGUUUCAGUGUUUGUCCUUACCCAUUAUGUGCCCAGUUAGUUCUAUACCAGUGAAAGUUCCCCCCAAAAGAAAAAGAAAAAGAAAAAAAAGACUGUCAUUUUCUUGAGCAGCUUUCUUGAGCUCUGUGUGUGUAUGCCUAUGUCUGGGGCAUACACAAGGACUCUGGCAGGCCCACUAAACUCUACCACGUAGUUGCCAGAUAUGCUGUAAACUGUCACCUGGAAGUUGGGAUUUACUCUUUUAUUUUUCUGUUUAUUUUGCAUGAGUACUGUAUGUAUAAAAAAGUAGCCACAUAUGGAUGGUCAAAGGGUUUCCUAGAAAUAUGGAUAGUCAGAGGGCUUCCUAGAAAUAUGGAUGGUCAAAGGUAUCCUAGUUUUUCAGGUAAACUCCACUAGAAACCAGAACCAUAUCCCAAUUCCAUAGCCUUUAUUAUUUCAGAUCAAUAGAAGCAGAAUCAAAAUGCAUUUGGAGCUUAGAGGUCAAUUGAUUUGGAAACCACUCCGGUGCAAAGAAUCUCUAGAUUCAUUGAUUUUGGAGUAUUGUUUAGGGGAAAAGGACUUUAAAGGCUGGGCGGGGAAGCUUUAUUCCUUUUUUUUUUUUUUUUUUUUUUUUUUUUUUCAGAAGACAUUUAUGAGUUUAUUGAUUUGGCACAUUUCCAGAGGACAAUUCAGUGACAUAUACCAACAUGUACAACAGAUUCAUCUUUUGACCCAACUUUUUCACUCUUUUUUUUUUUAUUUUUUUUUAUUUAAUGUUUUUUUUUUAUUAUACUCUAAGUUUUAGGGUACAUGUGCACAUUGUGCAGGUUAGUUACAUAUGUAUACAUGUGCCAUGCUGGUGCGCUGCACCCACUAACGUGUCAUCUAGCAUUAGGUAUAUCUCCCAAUGCUAUCCCUCCCCCCUCCCCCGACCCCACCACAGUCCCCAGAGUGUGAUAUUCCCCUUCCUGUGUCCAUGUGAUCUCAUUGUUCAAUUCCCACCUAUGAGUGAGAAUAUGCGGUGUUUGGUUUUUUGUUCUUGCGAUAGUUUGCUGAGAAUGAUGGUUUCCAAUUUCAUCCAUGUCCCUACAAAGGACAUGAACUCAUCAUUUUUUAUGGCUGCAUAGUAUUCCAUGGUGUAUAUGUGCCACAUUUUCUUAACUUUAUAACCUGUGUGGGGCAGGAGAAUUAACCUGCUUUUGGAUUAGAGGCUGCAAAAAAGCCAGUUCUGGUGACCACACUAAAAAGAUUAAUGAGCACUUAGCACCAAAUUAAAUACCCCCCUGCCCCCGCCUUUAUGAAAGUGGAGUUCAUAGUACAAAUGUGACAGCGUUAAACAUUGAAGCCAUUCGAAGGAACCUGGGAAGUACUCAGGCACCGAUGAGUUAAAAACACAGAGACAUCCAGUAAGUGAGUUCCCGCUGGGCACGGGUCUGUUUAUCUUGCCUUUCUGAAGUCAGAGCCAACAUUCUUAAUGGUUUUGAAUGAUUCAGAAUGUUUCUUUUUUGGCAGGGCCAGUUUCCACGCAUGGGCUUAUGACUAAAACCCCUUAGGUGAGGUCCAAAGCAGAAACCAGCCUCACACUUAAUGUCGUAUUUCAGAAUCAUCUUAUUUUAGAGCAAAAGGAAAACUAUUAAAUAUAGCUUGCUUAUUUCAGACAUGAAGGGACGGAACCAGGGAGGCUUUGGUCAGCCAGAGGUCACAGGACUGGAGAGAGAGGCCAGCCCGAGGCAGACCUCUGGGUUCUGGGCCCAGCCCUCCCUCCUCUGCACCACACAGCUCUUGUCCAGACCUCGGAAGGAGGUUCCAGCGUGGCCUCAGCCUCCCGCUGGAAGAGGCAGCUUGCCCUUUGAGAUCGUUUAGAAAACGACUUGGGUCAGAAAGGAGAACUUCAUUUUUACAAAAUGAAACAAAUCAGUUAUUUGCCAUAGACAGCUUUUUCAAAAUAUCCUUUGCCAGUGUGUCGUGAAUGUAUUAGCUCUGGGACAGAAACAAGAAUAAUAACAAUUCUAUCUACUAUAUGCCAAAAGAAGAGACUUGAUAUACUUCUUUUUUUUUUUUUUGGAUGAGAAUGAACUUAUGCCACACUAGUUCUUAAUAAAACAAACUGAAUCCUUACCACAGGAGAAAGAAUUGAGCAAUGUUCUAAGAACAGGCUGUCCUCUUUGGGGCACUGAGUGAAUGUAAUAUUUAGAAGAUGCCCUUGAAGCUCACAAGUGCCUCUUGGGAUGGAGUAAAGGGGGAGAAACGGCGAGAGAACUCGGACAGAGAAGCUGUCCAUGGGAGGAGAAGGCCUUGGGAAGAGCCAUCGACUCACCCCCUUCCUGCUUGAUUGAGGACUUUGGGAAUCACAGAUGCCAUAGGAGAGAACCCAUUUCUUCAAAGCCAGGAGGUGAACCGGCCCACCCCUGCUGUGCCCACCACACUACAGCCAGUAAGGGUUCUCCUCUGGACCUGAGCCACUGUCCCCAAGGGCCAGAAACCAGCCAUGUGUGGCGUCCCCAGAAAAGGACAUGAGCAGGUACUCAGCCCCGCCACACACAUUUGUCUAAGGAGAGAAAGCAAGUCAGCGAAAUGGGAUCUGCACCAAGAUCUCUGCACCCAGGGAGCUGCUGUGGAGUAAAUCCUAUUUUUCCAGGUGGUGUUUAAACAGCUGUCAUUGAUCACUUUGCUUUUUUUAAUUGAUUAUUUCGAAACGUGUUUUCCCCCAAAGGAUGUUAGUAUGUCAUAAAUAUUCAGUUAAGCAACUCCAGGAUGAUCUUUUAGUAGGAGGAGCUGUCUUUUGGUCCUAGUAACACUAAGUGCCAUUUUUUCCCUCUUCUAAGCCCAUGGAAACAACGUGGAGGAAAAAUGAUUAUAUAUUUAGCUUCUAGCAUGAUUUUAGAGAUAAAUGACAGCCACCUCCCAGACCUCAUUCCCAACACCUGUAUUAAUUUUUAUUUUAUUUUUAUUUUUUUGAGACAGAGUCUCGCUCCAUCACCCAGGCUGGAGUGCAGUGCUGUGAUCUCUUAGCUCGCCUAAUUUUUGUAUUUUUAGUAGAGACGGGGUUCCGCCAUGUUGGCCAGGCUGCUCUCGAACUCCUGACCUCAAGUGAUCCACCUGUCUCGUCUUCCCAAAGUGCUAGGAUUACAUGCAUGAGCCACUGCGCCCCACCUUGUCUUUAUUUUUAAAGUAGGCAAUUUAUUUUAAUUUUUUGUGUGUGUAUGACAGGGUCUCGUUCUGUCACUGGAGUGCAGUGGCACCAUCAAGGCUCACUGCAGCCUCAACCUCCUGGGCUCAAACGAUCCUCCUGCCUCAGCCUCCCAAGUAGCUGGGACUACACUCACCACCACACCCAGCUACUUUUAAACUUUUUUGUAGAGACAUGCAGUCUUGCUGUGUUGCCCAGGCUGGUCUCGAACUCAUGGCCUCAAGCGAUCCUCCAGCCUUGGCCUCCCAAAGUGCUGCGAUUACAGGUGUGAGCCACCAUGCCCAGCCCAGUUUAUUUUUAAAAGAGCUACUGGCUGGGCGUGGUGGCUCACGCCUGUAAUCCUAACACUCUGGGAGGCCCAGGCGAGUGGAUCACCUGAGAUCAGGAGUUUAAGACCAGCCUGGCCAACAUAGUGAAAUCCCAUCUCUACUCAAAAUACAAAAAUUAGCUGGGUGUAGUGGGGCAUACCCAUAGUCUAGCUACUUGGGAGGCUGAGGCAGGAGAAUCACUUGAACCUGGGAGGCGGAGGUUGCAGUGAGCCUAGAUCGCACCACUGCCUCCGGCCUGGGCAACAGAGCAAGACUCUGUCUCAAAAAAAAAAAAAAAAAAAAAAAGCUACUGAAGAGAGGAGUUUCGCUGUGUUAAGACCACUGUGCGUCCAUAAUGGCCUUCCCUCAGAUCUCUCUUCCAGGGAGCUAGGGCUGUCUACACAUGCUCCGUAGAAACAAAUGCACAUUUUCUACACGGGAGUGAAUUGGAGAGUCGUGGUGGUGAUAGUUUAACUGAAAUCUACCUUGGAUUUUUUUUCUUCUCUGCUUUAUAUUUGUUUAAAAAAGCAUGAUCCAGCAAAUGCAUCAAAUUAAAGCUGUGGGUACAGUUCUCCUAACAGAAAAUCACACAGUAAGCUGGGACAAUGGAACAGAAAGCAGUGGGUAUUGUUUUCUUCUUAAGAUUUUUAUAUUCACAUUGGAUGAGAAUGUCUCCUAACCCUCCCCUUGCUGUUGUUCUUGGAAUGGGUACCUUAUUCAUGGCCUCCUUACAUAGAGGGAGCAGAUUCAGGACAGAGGCUCUGCAUGCUCCUGGGUCCCUCCUAAGCGAGCACUCCCCUCCACUGCUCCUCCUGUUCGGCAUGCUAGAUUUUCUGUGCACUUGCAGUCAUACGGAAACUGGCUUCCUUCUUAGCUGUGCGUGUGAAAGUCACCCCAGUGUUUCACCUGCAGUGUGAGUGUAAUUUGGGGUCCCAUGACAUGAUCAUCUUCCUUUUGAUUUCUAAAGCUAGGGUCAGGGAAGGGGACUCGUUUUGAGCCAAAGGGCAUUUUAAGGGCAUCAUUUCAUAUGUUCACUGUCUGCAGCCAACACUGCACUCUAGACAAAUGGGUACCUUUAUGUCCCAUUUAUUAAGACAUCCUGCAAAAGGGGCUCCUGGCCCCUGUGGGAAGCUUGAAAGGAACAGACCAUAUCCUGUUUCUUUUUGCUCAUACCUCUGUGGUGAGAUCUUAUUCUGACCCCAUAGUCUGGUGCCAUACCUGUGGGUCCCUGUAUCUCCUAGAAUUCCCCCUAUGCUAGUGUUUAGCCCGUGUAAUGACAGUUAUCUGUCCACAGGGCUGUAUCCCCCGCCAGCUUGUAAACUCCAUGAAGACCGGCCCUGCGUCUCACUCACUCCUGUCCACAGCAGUGCCUCCCACAUGUUAGGUCUUAACAAACAUCUGUUUCUUCUACUCUUCAUAAAAUCCACGCUUCUUCUCACCCCCCCGUCAUCCCUGAUCCCAGCUAACUUUGACCCUGUGUGCGGGGGCGGGGGAUCUACAUGUGGGCUCCACCCCCGCACGCCUGCUGCCCUGUCAUCUCUGAUCCCUGGCGGUGGGAUGUCUACCAUGGCUCUGCCCAAUCCCCCACUGUCUUCACCCCUGCCACAUCUGGCAUGAUUUUACCGUCCCCUUCCUAGAGUUCUCCCUUUCUCCCCUGCCCAGGCUGCACCCCUGGAGAGCCCAGCUCAGGCCCCUGGCCCCUAUGAAGCCUCUCCUGAAUAAUCCAUCAGCCUGCCCUGAGCUCAUCCAGUCUCCAAUGACGAUUGUGCUCUCCACCAGCAGGACACACCGGAGCACUUUCUCUGUCCCUGAGAAUUGGACUCCAUUCCACAGUUAGGUCCUGGGUCACAUACAGACAUUUCACAUCCCCUCCUCAGUAUUCCCCAGCAGCGUGCAGCACAGUGCGGGCUUCUAGGAGGCAGUCGGUGGAUAUUUACCCAUGAUUUUAAGAGGUCUGUCUUGACCAGGAAUGUUGAGAAGUGACCUGUGUCUCUGCAGCAUUGCUGCUAGUUAGUCCCUCGUGGAAGAAGUGGCAUGUCCCUCCUGUGUCUGGCUCACGGGGACCGGCGCCUCCUGUGUUUGCCCCCGCCAUGCCCUGUGGUUUCCUUUGACACCCUCUGUCAUUGUCUAUUUUUAUGUUUUAAACUUCAGUGGGAUUUACCUCUCGUUUGCUCCCAUAUCCUCCUGGUAAAUUGUAAACUUGGUGAAUCAAUGAUGAGUAAUCAGUAGGCAGAAAUGGUUGGAAUUUCCUGGUCCCAGUUUCAGAUCAUAUCUGUCUUUCCCCAGACUCCUAACUUCCUGUUGGGACAUCCCUUGGUCUGGCCUUUCCCUCCAGAGAAGCCCCCAGACCCACCCGCAGCCUUGAUUUACUGAUGCCUAAUCUUAUUUUAGUCUUUCACACCAGUUUUUAACAACUCGACUGUAUAGAUCUUCUGGAAAUUUUACCCAAAAAUGUUAGAUGUGCCAUCCCCUCACAGGGGAAAGUGGUGGGGUGGUGGGGGUUAAUGUGUUGAAAAUCUAUGUAUCUUGUAUUUUAUUUGAGUCAGCUGUGUUUUCACAACAACUCUGAGAGUUAACAUCAUUUCUACUUUAUAAAUUAAAAAAACAAAACAAAAACAAAAAACUAAAGCCCCAAAAGGAUUGAAUAGCUUGCCAAGGCUGUGUAACAAGUGAAAUUUGAAUCCGGGUCUGUAUGAUCCCAAAGCUUAAGCUGCCCGUCUUUCUAUUCCCAGUUCAAACGUGCCUUGAAAUGGGAGCUCACUUGAUAGUACUUGGCUUUUAAAAGGCUACGUACAUGUAAGUACCUUCACUCAAAUAUGCUGGGGCUCAGUAGGAGAAGCAAAGAGAAGGAAAAGGUAUUGAUUGAUCGAUUUGAUUCUAAGCAGAGAUUGACAGAGAUAAGCUUCUAAGACCUUUCAGGCCCCAGAGUGUGACUGUUGAGCACCUAAGAAGACCUCACUUGACCCGUGACUUCCCGCCAGAGCCUUGGGAAGCCCAUGAGUGCAGCGUGCUCGCCGGCUGGGCUGGAACUUGCUGCUCUUCUCUGCAGUGGCAGGCUGGCUUCUGCCCCUAGACUGGAACUGCCAAGGGCUGCUAUAGAAGGGACAAACUUCCAGUGCUCACUGAGGAGCCAGGGGUAUCCUGGGAAGCUGAAAAUGCAUUUGUCAAGCUCAGGUCUUCACAAUUGAGAAACCCCAUCACUAACCCGUACGGUUUUCUUGACCAAAACUUUCAGUGCUCUGUUUUUCCCAUCUGUAAAUAAUGUUCAUACAUCUAAAUCCUAGGAGGUUGCAGGGACAGUGGCUUAGAAAGUCACCACAUUCUCUAAAGGAGUGACAGAGAGGAUGAAAGAAGCAUGCUCUAUAAUUAGGUUUUAUUACAUGCUUUUUAAGGUUAAUUGAAGGACUUCCCAGCAGCUUCCCUAGCCACUUUUUCAAAUACUGAAAGCUUCCAGAAAGCAGCAGACAGGUGUUCCUCACAAUCUGACACAGACUUCAGUUACUGUUGAAAAGUGAAAGAGGGCUGGGCGCGGUGGCUCACACCUAUAAUCCCAACACUUUGGGAGGCCGAGGUGGGCGGAUCACCUGAGGUCAGGAGGUCAAGACCAGCGUGGCCAACAUGGCAAAACCCCAUCUCUACUAAAAAUACAAAAAUUAGCUGGGUGUAGUGGCACACGCCUAAAACUCCAGCUACUUGGGAGGCUGAGGCAUGAGAAAAAAUCGCUCGAACCCAGGAGGCGGAGGUUACAAUGAGUCAAGAUCAUGCCACUGCACUCCAGCCUGGGUGACAGAGUGAGACUAUCUCACAAAAAAAAAAAAAAAAAGAAAAAAAUGAAAGAGCUCCUGUCUGACGUUGGUUUUCUAUACCCAUUUUUAUAAUCAGACAAUUUUGGAAACAUGCUAUUAUGAUAGUGUUUAAAUAUUCCAGAAUUCUGUGUGUUCGGUAGCUUCACGUUGGUUUGAUUGUUGUUUUACCCCACUGCCUCUUCCUUCCCAUCUGUACUUCUCAGCUUGAUUUUUUAGAUGUAUUUUCUGUUGUAGGACAGUAUCAAAUGGCUUUUUCUGACCAUUUAUUUUACUGGCCGAGCUCCUCUUGGAUUUUAAUCUCAACUCUCAAGAAUCUUCCCAACAUAAUCUGUUCCUGUUGUGAUAUCAUCUUUCUUGAGAGCUUCCCAGUCACUGAAGAGCAUGUUCAGUAGCACCUGGCUUAAAGAGUCCACCUGCGAAUCACAAAUCAUUGUCUUCACCAUUCAGCUCCGACCCACACAUCUGGGCAACAUCAUCCCCACUGGCCAGUAAGCACGGGGAAUGCUCUGUGGCCUCAGCUGUGUUCUGGUUCCUCGGUGGAGCUGUAAUCAUUAACUUAGAAAUUGCAAUUGGUGGUAACUUAACAGAGCUUUCUUCAUCAGACUGCUGAGUCAUGCAGCCUCUUGCUGGGUAAAAUGUGUCUUGAGAUGUAAUCCCCUAUAAGGACACCCCCUUGGAGCCACUGUGAAGGCACUCCCAGCUUCCCUAGCAGGUCGCAUCAGGGGGACGACUGAAGGAUUUACUUGAACAAUCAGUUUUCAGAAAUGAAGACCCUACGACCUUGGCUUCCUCUCUUGUGAUGCAGCUGAAAGAUGCAUUUCGUCUGUAAAGUUAGACCAGGUAGGAGAGAAUGUGAGGUGGUUUCCAUUCUUCUCAGUUGCCCUCCACCUGAUUCUGAAGCCGUCACAGACCGUCCUUGCAGACCGGCGCUCCCCUCCACAAACCUUCUGCAGCCUGUACUGCUACAGCACGAGGCUGCAGAAUCAGUUGUGAAAAUAGAAGCCUUCUACCGUCUCCUGUGCGGGAUCCUUGCCUGCCUUUCUUCUGUGAUGGGAUCUAUAGGCUUAGACUGUGUUUUAUUUCCUAAGACACCUUGCUGAGCAAACCUUGCUGCUCUGCCUCGUGUCAGCGGUUUCCUUAGCAACGGCCACACCUCACGUUUUCUCCCGCACAGAGCACCAGCAUGAGGGGGCAUGUGUUGCUCACUGUACAGGAACUUUCCCAACCUGUGUGUCUUAAGCAGGAAAGAGAAGGUGCUUUCUAUUUCUUGUUUUUAAAAAUGCAUCUGUUGGUGACACUGGUGGAGAAACAUGUUUACGAGAAAACAACUGACUUUUUCUUCUGCUGUUACUCCAGGAGAUUUCCUAGGAGCUCAUACUGUCAUUUAAAUUCCAGGUGCAGGUCUUCUGAACAAAUGCCUCCUGAGGAUUUCUGUGCCUGGAAAAUAUCUGUUAACAGACUGCUUUUACACCUACGUAAGUAGAGGCUUCUGCUUAUAAGUCAACCUCAAGGGAGUUUUAUUUUGUCCCUGGAUGAUUCCUCAGUACAUUUUUCUUUUUCUUUUUUGAGGUAGGGUUUUGCUCUGUUGCCCAGGCUGGAGUACAGUGGUGUGAUCACAACUCACUGCGGCCUCAACCUCCCAGGCUCAAGCGAUCCUCCCACCUCAGCCUCCCAAGUAGCUGGGACCACAGGCGUGUACCACCCACGCCUGGCUAGUUUUUUAAAAUUUCUUUUGUAGAGGCAGAGUCUCCCUGUGUUGCCCUGGUUUCAAACUUGGGCCAAGUGAUUCUCUGCCCCAGCCUCUCAAAGUGCUGGGAUUACAGGUGUGAGCCACCGUGCCUGACAAGCCUGAUAUGUUUUUUUAAAUGAUCAUUAGUAUUUGAUCUCUACUCUUUUUCUCUCAACCACCCAACUCCCGGUUUACGGUCAGGAAGAAUCUAUAACAUGAACUCCUGCUUAAAAACAAGGGUAUAGAUCCCAUAUUCAGGUCUUAGACUGGGAAGAAGAGAAGGCAGUCAAAAAUAUUAAAUAUAUGAAUUUCAGUAAAUUCAGUUGGGGAUGCCAUUUCAGCUUUGCAGUCAGUUACUCCAGAAUAUGUCAAUGUAUGGCAAAGCAUGUGACAGCAGGAUCUCUGCACCCUCUCCAUUUACCAGCUGUGGUGGAUCUCUUAGCCACAUCUCUGUUUAUAAUGUGCUUAUUGAAAACUAAUGUAUUACUUUUAUUAUCAUAGCUACCAUUUACUGAAUAUUUACAUUGUGCUAACACUGGUUCAGAUGGCUUCAUCAUAUUUACCUGAUUUAAUCCUCACAACAACCUUAUGUGCUAGGUCCAGUUAUUACCAUCUUUUUUUUUUUUUGAGACGGAGUCUCACUCUGUCGCCAGGCUGGAGUGCAGUGGCGCGAUUUCGUCUCACUGCUGCAACCUCCGCCUCCCAGGUUCAAGUGAUUCUCCUGCCUCAGCCUCCCAGGUAGCUGGGACUACAGGCACAUGCCACCACGCCCAGCUAAUUUUUGUAUUUUUAUAGAGACGAGACUUCACCAUGUUGGCCAGGAUGAUCUCAAUCUCUUGACCUCGUGAUCCGCCCAUCACAGCCUCCAAAAGUGCUGGGAUUACAGGCGUGAGCCACCGCACCCGGCCUAUUACCCUCAUUUUACAGAUGAGGAGACUGAGGCACAGAGAGUUAAAGUGAUUUGUGCAGGGUUGUGUGAGGAGCUGGUGGCAGAGCUUGGCAUUCUGGCUCUGGAGUCUGCAUUUGGCCAUCUCACCGUACAGUGUCAUAGAAACAGGAAACUCGAGAAGAUAAACUGCCAGGCUGUAUUUUGGAGUCAGUAUUUUAACACUGUCACCAUCUCAAGCAUGAUCUGUGGGACUCAUCACUGUGCUCUUUGACUUGAACUUCUUUAAGGUUAGUGGGAAAAUGAAGCUUUAGAGAAGAUGGGACUGGCCUAAGGUCACACUGCAUGUCAGAAGUGUGGUGGAGGGUCCAGGUCUUCUGACCAUUCAGUGCAAGCCAAAUUGUGCUAAUUUCCAAUUUUUCUCCCUUUCUCUUGGUGAGCUAUUUGGUGCUACUUCUACUCCUCAUGACCAAAGCUGGCUUUCAUGGUUUACUCAUGUACUUACUGAUGAAACCCUGAGACUUGGGGCCAGUGACUGUUCAGAGGUCCAUGUGAAGAUGCGCUGAAUGGUAUAAAGGACAGAGCAGUAAAGAGUGCUGGCUGAAUGCCUGGGCUGGCAAUCAGGCAUGUUGGAGUUUGAGUCCCAGUCUGCCACUCCAGCUCUGUGACCAAGAGGAAGUGAAGUCAUGUACCCUUUCUAAGUCUCUAGCCCCUCUUCUGAAAGACGAAGAUGCCACCACCAACCAUGUUAGUGGUUGUGAAUGCCAAGAAAGUCCAUGUGAAGCACAUAGCAUAGUGUCUGCCAUGCGUUAAGUGUUCCAAAAAUGGAAGCUAUGACUAUUUCACAGAGUACACUUCCCAUCACUUUUCAGUUCAUUUUGGCCUUCUCCCUCAAAAGCACUCCAGUGUUCUGAUCCAGCUGAUAAAACACCAAACAUUCACAUAGUGCUUUAAAAGUGACCCACUGUUUUUACAGACUGCAUUACAUAUGACCCUAACAACCACUGCAAUAUAGAAAUUCGCAUCUCCAUUCUCCAGAUCAGGAUACCGAAGCUCAGAAAAAUUAAAUGAUUUGCCCAGGAUCACAUAGUUAGUAAGCAGCCCAGCCAGAUCCUGUGUUAACUUGUUCAUCCGCUUCCUAUAAGAAAACAUCCAUUCAAGGCACAUGGGGCAACAAAGAAGGACUUAGAGCUGUGUGGCCCCUCGUCAGGGCAGUACCAGUUGCACCCAUAGUCCGGCCUGAAUACUCAGCUUAGGACUAUUGUGUCCAAUGUCCCAAACAUUUUGAAGCUACAUCUUAAAGAAGUGUCCUGCUCAGAUGCAGUUCUCCUUGUGAAAUCCGCAGGCCCCAAGGAAAGUGACUUUAAUCCAGUUUGCUCAUGCAAGAACAGACUGGCAUUUCACAUCCAGGAAAACAAUGGAUUUGUACUGUUCAGCUUUUGCCAUGCAAGGAGUUCCUGGUGUGGUUUAUUAAUUUACAUCUCAGGCUCCAGCUUCACUAUCAAUCAGAUUUGGAAGAAAAAAGUUACAAAGAAAGGCAGCUUGCUGAGAAACAGCGGAAGCAUGACGGUACAGACUGGGUUUUGAAAUGGAGACACAUUCUCAUGGCUUGUGGGCUGAGAGACACUGAGAAAGGAUUUUGUUCUUGAAAGAUGAUUGUUUUAAUGCUGGAGAUGGAGAGUUUUGACAAUUUUAAGUGCAUGUUCUGUGUGUAAGAAAGAGUCAUUACGUUUUUUUUUUCUUUCAGAUGUUGCCAUGCCUUAAAAUUGCUGAUGAUUAAAAUAGAACAUCCUGAGUUACAGAAAUUCAGCCCUAGUGUAUCCUGGCCUAAAAAUACAGAACAAUCAAGUUGAUUGUUGGAAAUGAGAGGCUAGGCAGGGUUGGAAACAUGCUAAUGUUUACUGAGUGAAAUCUUUCCUUCUCAGUAGAGUUGCCCUUGCAGCUGAAAGUCACUGAAAGACUCAACAAAAUAAGCAGAUCCCACUUGUCUCACUCUGUUCUCCUAUGCAUGCCCUGGAAAGAGAAUGAAUGAGCCCUUUUUAAUUUAUCAACUGGUUUUCUUCCAUCUCUUUACUAGUGAGCCAUGGGGGUUUUUUGCCGUUAACUGGGUAGCCAGUCUCUUCAUGGAGACUUAUUUUCAGGAAACUAGCCUCUUGCUUUAUGUGAAAACAAGGACCCAACUCAAGAUGUCUUAUCACAGUGUGUUCUGUUGCGUAACAGUUGCAUCUGUAGUCCAGCCUCAAUACUCAGGUUGGGACUGUUUUGUCCUGAUGUCUCGAACAUUUCAAAGCUACGUUCUUAAAGAAAUGUCCUGCUCAGAUAGAGCUCUCCUUGUGAAAUCCUCAAACCCCAGGGGAAGUGACCUUAAGCCAGUUUGCUGGCUUUUCAUGUCACAGAAAACAAUCGACUGCCACUACUCAGCUGUUGCCACACAGGAGUACCUGGCGUGGUCACUACUUGCCAACUCAGUACCCCACUUUCUCCCCAAGGACAUAAAAGCAAUGUGGGAAGAUAUACCAAAUGACCUUGUCACACUGGGCUAAUAUGAAGAGCCCACAGAUGCAAAAUAAUGUAUCAUACCUUUAUUCUUCUGAUUUUUUUUUUUUUUUUUUUUUUCGGAGACAGUCUCACUCUUUUGCCCAGGCUGGAAUCCAGUGGCGCGAUCUUGGCUCACUGCAACCUCUGCCACCCGGGUUCAGGCAAUUCUCCUGCCUCAGCCUCCCGCCCAGCUAAUUUUUGUAUUAUUAAUUAGUAGAGAGAGGGUUUCACCUUCUUGGCCAGGCUAGUCUUGAACUCCUGACCUCGUGAUACACCUGCCUUGGCCUCCCAAAGUGCUGGGAUUACAGGCGUGAGCCACCGUGCCUGGCCUUUUUUUUUUUUUUUUUUUUUUUUUUUUGAGAUGGAGUCUGGCUGUAUUGCCCAGGCUGGAGUGCAGUGGCAUGAUCUUGGCUCACUGCAACCUCUGCCUCCCAGGUUCAAGUGAUUCUCCUGCCUCAGCCUCCUGAGUAGCUGGGAUUGCAGGCAUCCCAUACCCGGCUAAUUUUUUUGAAACAGAGGCUUGCUCUGUCACCCAGGCUGGAGUGCAAUGGCACGAUCUCAGCUCAGUGCAACCUCCGCCUACUGGGCUCAAGCAACUCUCCUGCCUCGGCCUCAGCCUCACUACAGGCAUGUGCCACCACGCCUGGCUAGUUUGGUUUUUUUUUUUUGUAUUUUUUUAGUAGAUAUGGGGUUUCACCAUGUUGGCCAGGUUGGUCUCAAACUUCUGACCUCAAGUGAUCUGCCUGCCUCAGCCUCCCAAAAUGCUGGGAUUACAGGUAUGAGCCACCACGCUUAGCCUUCUGCUGAAUUUUUGAGAAGCAUACAUAAAGACAAUGUAAAAAACUUAGCAUAUUUGUUUGGCCCUGCUAAGGGCAUGGUUGAAUAUAUAGUGUGUGUGAUGUAUUUGGUGUAUGAGAUAUAUAUGAUCUUAUCAGACAUAAGUAAAAGAAAUUCAUUCUUCAGGAAAAAUUUUCCCCAUAACUGAAGUGUCAAUCAUUUGAAAAAACUUCUAGGCAGUAGGCAAACACUGUGACUAGUUAUUUAUCAAAAAUAAGCAGACUUUAGAGUUUUGUAACUGAUGAGAAUAAUCUGGCUGCUUCUUUUGUACUUCAGUCACUGAUACUGCGAAUUAGAGUAGCAUAUACAGAAGGAUGCAGGGGGUCCCUAAAGGAAUCACAGAAUUAGUGAAACCAUUAUUUGAGAGUUGCAGUGAUUCUUCUGUCCUGGCACUUUUCCCAGUUUUGGUGCUUAAAUUUACUAUCCACUUGAAAUGUGUCACUGCCUGUCACUUCACAAAGUAUGUGCCUUUCACUGCAGUCAACAAGCUGUUUACAUCUUUGAUGAAAUGAUUGCCACGCAUCUCCAUAGCCCUGGUGUUCUAUUCCCUUAUUCACAGAGAUUUUUUUUAAAAACCAGCCUAGCAGCAAUAGGUAUGUGCUGUGGAUGCUUCUCCAUGAUGAUAAAGGAUGAGUUUGUGCUGGGAUCUCCUUAUGAAAAGAUAACUGGCCAAGCCCAUGAGGAACAAGAAUGUUAUGCUAAUCAGACCCAAGGUAAACAGCCUGCAGUGCACCUCCUGACUGAUUAGCACUGAACCCACUUGGAAUCAUCAACCACAGGCACGUGGUAAUUGGAUGUUCUUCUAAUACACAUAGUGAGAUUGUAAAAUGAGGAUGAUAUAUGAGGAAAGUCAGACGGAGAAACUAAAGUUCAGUUCUUAAAUACAAGCCAAGGGAACAGACUAAGUGAAUGGUACAGCCAGGAUUGGAGCCUGGUUUUCACAAGGUGGUAUGUCAUGAUAAAACAAGCCAAAGAAAAGGUUGGGUAGUGUUUUGAGGCUAAAAGAGACCAAAGAGUCUUAGUGAAUCAACCUUGAUGCGAUCUGGGUUUGAAAAACCUAUAAAAAACCUUUUGUUUGGAGAAAGUGGGAGAAGUUGGAUGUAGGCUGGAUAUUUGUGGGUACCAAGGAAUUGUUUGUUUUCUUAGGUAUGGUAAGAUUUUGUGGUUAUGUAGAAGAGUGUCUUCAUUUUAUAGAACGACCUCAAAGUAGUUAGGAGCAGUGUAUGUAUGGGUGGUUAUCAAUUUACUUUCAAACAAUGCAGCAAAAAAUAUGUAUCUAUAUUACAUAUAAUUAAAGCAAAACAUGAUAAAAAGGAAUAGUUAUUGAAUUUAGAUAGUAUGGAUUUAGGAAUUCAUUGUAUUGUCAUUCCAAUUUAAUGUAUAAAAUUUUUUAUAACAGUUUAUAAAAACAGUGCACACCCCUUUAAUUAGGUGGCCUGGGUACAUGAAGUAUCUUUUUGGAUGCCUAGAACACAAAAAGGGACGACAACAGGCCACCUAAUAAGAUGAUACCAAGAACUAUACCAUGACGGCGAAAAAGAACUGCUGCAAAAAAUAAUUUGCCAAGGAGAACUCAGAGUACAAAGCCUUACCUUUGGAGUAGAGGGAAGGAGAGUCUUAAGUAAAGCUCACAAAAACCCCUAACUCAUAGAUGCAGUCUAAGGAAUUCAUUCCGGAAGCGACAUUAGCAUCUCAUUAGUGCCAUUAUGUGACUUACUUGGCCUCUGAGCUAGUCUAUUUUCUUCCCUAGACCCCAAAAUCUCAGUAAUCCUUUGGAUCCAAGUUAUCUCCAAGUGAAAAUAAUAGGUUUAGGAAAGCGUUUUUCUUCAACUUCUAUGGAGCACUUGCUUGCUUUGUCCUAUUUGCAUGUCCGACGGACGGUUCUCCAGCACCACUGCUAGUCGUCCUCCGCCUGCCUGGGUACUUGAUCACAGGAUGCCUCUGACUUCUCCUGCCUUUACCCAAGCAAAGGAUUUUCCUUGUCUUCCCACCCAAGAGUGACGGGGCUGACAUGUGCCCUUGCCUCUAAAUGAUGAAGCUGAACCUUUGUCUGGGCAACUUAACUUAAGAAUAAGGGAGUCCCAGGCAUGCUCUCCCAUCAAUAACAAAUUCAGUGACAUCAGUUUAUGAAUAUAUGAAAUUUGCCAAAGCUCUGUUUAGACCACUGAGUAACUCACAGCUAGGUUUCAACUUUUCCUUUCUAGGUUGUCUUGGGUUUAUUGUAAGAGAGCAUUAUGAAGAAAAAAAUAGAUCAUAAAGCUUCUUCAGGAAGCUGGUUUCAUAUGGUGGUUUAGAUUUAAAUAGUGAUUGUCUAGCACCAUUUGAAAUCAGUGUUCUUGGGGGAGACCAGCUGCGCUGCACUACCAACAGCAAAAGAAGUGAAUGGGACAGCUCUGAAGUAUUUGAAAGCAACAGCAGGAUGGCUGUGAGAACCUGCCUCACAUGUAGCUGACCCCUUCCUCACCCCUGCCAACAGUGGUGGCAUAUAUCACAAAUGGCAGUCAGGUCUCUGCACUGGCGGAUCCAACUGUGAUCGAAAGUUUUCCAAAAAUAAGUUGUGUCUGUAUUGAACAUGAACAGACUUUCUUCUUGUCAUUAUUCUCUAACAAUACUGCAUAACAAUUAUUUGCAUACAUUUGCAUUGCAUUAAGUAUUCUAAGUAAUCUAGAGACGAUUUAAAGUAUACGGGAGGAUGUGUGUAGGUUGUAUGCAAAUACUACACCAUUUUCUAUCAGAGACUUGAGCAUCUGUGGAUUUUGGUAUCCAAGGGGCUUUCUGGAACCAAUCCCUCAAGGAUACCAAGGGAUGAAUGUAAUUGUACAGGAUAUCGCAUUGUUGGAAUUUUAUACUUCUUUGUGGAAUAAACCUAUAGCACUUAAUAGAUAGUACAGACUCAUUCCAUUGUGCCUGGGUUAAAGAGCCCAAUGUAUGCUGGAUUUAGUAAGAUUUGGGCCCUCCCAACCCUCACGACCUUCUGUGACCCCUUAGAGGAUGACUGAUUUCUUUUGGUGUUCAGAGUCAAUAUAAUUUUCUAGCACCAUCUGAAAUCGGUUAUAAUGAUUGGGGAAGAGCACCAUGAUGCUGACUGCUGAGAGGAAAUGUAUUGGUGACCGUUGGGGCCAUGGACAAGAACUAAGAAAACAAAUGCAAAGCAAUAAUGCAAAGGUGAUUUUUCUUCUUCCAGUUUCUAAGUUGAAUUUCACUGACCUGAAUUGCAUGUGGUAUAAUACUAACAAAUGGUUCACUAUUAGCAUAUCAUGAAUGGUUAUACUUUAUAGAAAUUCCAUAGACUUGGUGGGGGUUUUGUUUUGGUGACGGAUACCUAGAAACACUCCUGGGGAAAAUCGAUGACUGGCUUAGAUGAUGGGAAAGGAGCAGCGAGGGAGUCAAUUCUGUUGUUGAUGAGAAGCUGCACCAGCUAUCUCUGAACUCUCCUCUCUUAGCUGGCUGAGGAGUUCCCUCCAUGGUUAAACAGGUCAUUUUCUUACAUAAGGAAAAAUGGUCCAGAGAAACUGGGUUUCUAUGGCUGAGACAGAACUGUGCUAAUAUGUGUCAGUUCAGUUUAGAAGGCAAAGCAACAAAAGCAGGUGCUACUUGAACUAGGAUCCUAGAGUAUACCUUUGAUAUGGUUUGGAUGUUUGUCCCCUCCAAUCUCAUGUUGAAGUGUGAUCCCCAGUAUUGGGGGUGGGGCCUGGUGGGGGUGGUUGAGUGAUGGGGCGGAUCCCUUGUGAAUGGCUUGGUGAUGUCCUCACUUAACGAGUUCCUGCUCAGUUAGAGGGAGCCGGUUGUUUAAAAAAGCUGGCACCUCCUUCCUCUCUCUUGCUCUUUCUUUCUUGCUCCCUCUCUCGCCAUGUGACAUGUCUGCUCCCUCUCCGCCUUCCACCAUGUAUAAAACAUCCUGAGGCCUCAUCAGGAGCCGAGCAGGUACCAGUGCCAUGCUUGUACGGCUGCAAAACUGUAAGCCAAAUAAACCUCUUUACUAUAUAAAUUACCCAGUCUCGGGUAUGUCUUUAUAGCAGCGCAAAACGGACUAACACAACCUCACUAGAAGUGAAGUCAUUAGACCAAAAACAAUACUGAGUUUUUAGGUCCACUAAGAGGCAAAAAUAAAAGGCUCUUUAUAGCAGCAUGAUUUAUAAUCCUUUGGGUAUAAGCACAUGUAUGCUAGAACUUAAAGUAUAAUAAUAAAAUAUAAAAAUAAUAAAAUAAAAUAAAAGGCUCAAGAAUGAGCCAUCUCGGCCGCUCCUCCUCCAGGGGCCCCUGUGUGCAGCUCCCAACACAGGUACUGCACAGACCGGCCACCUGCUGUCCCCAUGUGGCGUCCUGGAGAACUGCAGGGGCACCUGGUGGAAUUUGGGCCUUGUCCUUCUGUUUUCUUUCUGGCCUGGAAAAGCCACUGGCCUCACAAUCAAGAGUUAAUAUUCUAUCUACCCUGCUUAAGCUUUCCCGCCCUCUCACACUGCCUCCCUCCUUUUCCCUCCUGCCUGUCACUUGUCUGGAAAAGGCCUUUUCUCCUCGGGGCUAACACAUGCAAUUUGUAGCCAAAACAUUCUGUCUACCACACAAAUCCAACGAGAAUCAGGAUCAUUCCACCACAUCUUUUUCUAUCCCAUGGUUAUUAUUUUCCCAAAACUCUUGUCUUUUGCUUUCUUACCUAUUCGCUGUUUUCCCUAAGUAAUCUUAUUUACUCCCCUGGUUCCAAAUACAUCCCUAUGUGUUGAUUUCCCUCAAACCAGAGGUCUGGCCUGGGAUAUUUUUUGAGACAUCUUGCUUUUUAUAUUUUUAGUAGCUCCUAAGUAUAAUAGUUCAGCCUGCUCUUCUAAACUUGUCUCAAUUUAAUCCAUUUAUGCUUGAGGUUGCAAUUUUUUGAAUUUUUGCCAUCAGACCUUGGCAAUGACCUUGAGCAGUAGGAGACAACUCCCACAUGCUUAGCAUUCCAAUAAUGGAACACUAGGCAUAUACCAAAGCCAUCCACAUUGCCUUCUCCCCAAAGCCAGCUCUCCCUGCUCUGCCCCAUGGUGAAAGCUGCGAACACCAGAGGUCUGUGACCUCUUCCCUCUCCCUUACCCACAUCCAUACUCAGCACAACUUGUUGCUGUUCUCUCUCAAUUCUCUCUUUAGGAUCCAUCCCUUUCUCUGCUCUUCCUAGACAGCUUUCUGGGCCCACCCCUCGCCAUUAGUCUAGCUUUGUUAUAGCCACCAGUUAAUCUUUGUAAAAUACAUACGUGAGCUGGGCACGGUGGCUGGUGCCUGUAAUCCCAGCUACUCAGGAGGCUGGGGCAGGAGGUUGCUUGAGCCCAAGAGGUUGAGGCUGCAAUGAGCCAUGAUUGCAUCACUGCACUCCAGCCUGGACGACAGACCAAGAUCCCAUCUCUUUAAAAAAUAAAAAUAAAAAUUGUUUAACCACAUGACCUUGCUCCUUGUCCCUCACUUUUAGCUGAACUCUUAUAAGUGUGUCAACCAGGUACCAGACCCUUCAUGACCCCAUGCCUACCUGUGUCACCAUCUUCUGGCUGUGCUUCCUGGGGCCUGUGUUCUGUGCUCACCCAGCUGCUUGCUGCUGAGAACACUCAGGUAUCUUGGCAUUUCUUAGCCUGUGUCUGUGCUAUUUCCUCUGCCCACAUCUCCCCUCUCCUCCUCCUCGUCAGCUAGGGACCUCCAGCCCCUAGGGACUGUAAGCUAGGGACCUCCAACCUGCAGCCCCUGGCUCAGGUGUAAACUUGUCUAGGAAGCCUUCCUCUGCCUUCUGCAUCAAGGCUUAGAUCCCUGGGCAAAGGCUUUCUUCUCUGUACCCCUUCAGAGCCUGAUGGCACUUCGCAUGUUAUAUUCUCAUGAUUGAUUACCUACUAGGCUUCUCUGCAAGGCUGGAAAAUCCUUGCUCCUAGGAGGGACGGUAGACAAGAACAAGACAUACUGUGUACACUCCAUUCUUACAUUCCACGUGAGCUAUCCUUUGUGUAGGUGUCUGUGGCAAAUCUUCCUUCUAGGCUGCAGCCUCUACUUUUCAUAGUUUCUCUCCAUUUUCAUCUGCCAUGUGCAUGAGGAAUAAAAACUACUUCCAAUGAUGACCAAAAUAAGAUGGAAGAAAAUAACCCUGCUUCAAAGAACAUUUCUGAGACCAUAAAUAUGAUUUUGAUGUAUCUUCCAUUAUGGAUUACCCAUGUGGUUUUUUUUUUCCUUCUAAAUGCAUAAACAGGAAUUGUUUAAUAGGCUAGAGAGCCAUGAAAAGCAAAAUAAUUAAGGAUUGUUGUCCUCAUUUCAUAGAAGAGCAAACAAAGACAGAAAAACAGAUGUGCCUUAACCAAAAAGGGCAGUAAAUUUAUGCAAAGCAGACUGAACCCCCAUUAAAAGUAAUCAUUUACAGCGACCAAGGGCCAAGCACGUGAUCACCACCCUCCUCUCCCAAUAGCUCUGAAGGGUGGGUAGUAUUUCCCCAGCUUAUGCACGAGGAAACAGAUGCACAGGAAAGUCAAGUAACUUGCCUGCAAUGCCACGGCUAGUCAACAUGAGAGUUUGAAUUACAAAUCAGGUGGCGGUGGCGGUGGUGAUGAUGAUGAUAAUAGCAGCUUAUCAUCAUCAUUGAGCUCUUAUUUUGUGUUAGAUACUUGGUAAGUAUUUUGCAUGAAUUAGCUCAUUUAGUCUGACUUUCAAAACAGCCCUUUGAGGUCAGUGUUAUUAUCAUCAUUCCCAUUUUGCCAUGAAGAAACAAAAGAAUUAAAUAAUCCAAGAUCGUCUAACUGACAUUUCCAAGCAGGAGCACAAACCCAGAUCUCUGUGAUUCCAGAGCCUGUGCUCUUAAAUCAGCACUGCUCAUUUCAGUGUGGGAGAUGGCGUAAAUGGGUGUGUUCACUUGCUGGGCAGCCUCAUCUGUGGUCCCCUUGAUCCCCACCUACUGGCAUUCAUGCCCUGUGCUAUUCCCUCCCCUGGAGUGUGGACUGGACCUAGUAAUUUGCUUCUAAUGGAUGGAAUAUGUCAAAAGUGAUAGAUGUCACUUCUGAGACUAGGUUACAAAUAGACUGUGAUUCUGUUGUCUUCUUCCUCAGGCUUGCACCCUCACGACAUGCUCUCUCUCUCUCCCUCUCCUCUUUUCUCUCUUCUCUCCCUUCUCUCCUCUCUCUUAUCUCUCUCUUCUCUCUCUCGUACACAUACUCUGGAAAGCCAGCUACCAUACUGGGAACUGCCCAAUGGAGAGGCCCACAUUCCACAAGGAACUGAUGUCUUCAGCCAAUACCUCGCCAGGACCUGAGGCCUGCUGAGAGUCACGAGUGGCCUUCGUGGGUCCUCUCUCAACGAGCUUGCAGGUGACCACUGCGCCAGCCAAAACCUUGAUGGCAGCCUAUGAGUGAGUGACCCUGAGCCAGAAGACCCAGUUAAGCCAUGCCCAGGAUCCUGACCUGCAGAAACUAUGACAUAAUAAAUUUAUUGUUUUAUGCCACU